This 772-nucleotide ribosomal RNA is filed under the name Lentilactobacillus buchneri. Its description in RNAcentral is "bacterial SSU rRNA". It matches the Rfam family "Bacterial small subunit ribosomal RNA", at positions 56 to 784 of the family's 1533-position model. Lineage: Bacteria; Bacillati; Bacillota; Bacilli; Lactobacillales; Lactobacillaceae. The record is from RNAcentral.
UGCAAGUCGAACGCGUCUCCGUUGAUGAUUUUAGGUGCUUGCACUUGAAAGAUUUAACAUUGAGACGAGUGGCGAACUGGUGAGUAACACGUGGGUAACCUGCCCUUGAAGUAGGGGAUAACACUUGGAAACAGGUGCUAAUACCGUAUAACAACCAAAACCACCUGGUUUUGGUUUAAAAGACGGCUUCGGCUGUCACUUUAGGAUGGACCCGCGGCGUAUUAGCUUGUUGGUAAGGUAACGGCCUACCAAGGCGAUGAUACGUAGCCGACCUGAGAGGGUAAUCGGCCACAUUGGGACUGAGACACGGCCCAAACUCCUACGGGAGGCAGCAGUAGGGAAUCUUCCACAAUGGACGAAAGUCUGAUGGAGCAACGCCGCGUGAGUGAUGAAGGGUUUCGGCUCGUAAAACUCUGUUGUUGGAGAAGAACAGGUGUCAGAGUAACUGUUGACAUCUUGACGGUAUCCAACCAGAAAGCCACGGCUAACUACGUGCCAGCAGCCGCGGUAAUACGUAGGUGGCAAGCGUUGUCCGGAUUUAUUGGGCGUAAAGCGAGCGCAGGCGGUUUUUUAGGUCUGAUGUGAAAGCCUUCGGCUUAACCGGAGAAGUGCAUCGGAAACCGGGAGACUUGAGUGCAGAAGAGGACAGUGGAACUCCAUGUGUAGCGGUGAAAUGCGUAGAUAUAUGGAAGAACACCAGUGGCGAAGGCGGCUGUCUGGUCUGUAACUGACGCUGAGGCUCGAAAGCAUGGGUAGCGAACAGGAUUAGAUA